AGUUCGGACUGCAGGCUGCAACUCGCCUGCACGAAGCUGGAAUCGCUAGUAAUCGCGAAUCAGAAUGUCGCGGUGAAUACGUUCCCGGGUCUUGUACACACCGCCCGUCACACCAUGGGAGUCAGUAAUGCCCGAAGUCAGUGACCCAACCGUAAGGAGGGAGCUGCCGAAGGCAGGACCGAUAACUGGGGUGAAGUCGUAACAAGGUAGCCGUAUCGGAAGGUGCGGCUGGAUCACCUCCUUUCUAAGGAA
RNAcentral lists this ribosomal RNA (252 nucleotides) under Clostridium fessum. RNAcentral's name for it is "Lachnoclostridium sp. SNUG30386 partial 16S ribosomal RNA". It matches the Rfam family "Bacterial small subunit ribosomal RNA", at positions 1290 to 1533 of the family's 1533-position model. Lineage: Bacteria; Bacillati; Bacillota; Clostridia; Eubacteriales; Clostridiaceae. The record is from RNAcentral.